GAGAGAGAGAGAGAGUGUAGAAACAUUGUGUGGUGGUGGUAGCUAGAGGCAGAUGUCGAUGCAGGGGGUAAGUAAUCCCUUGAUAUAAACUGAGCUGGCCUCACAGGAAGGCAGCUUUCACCAGACAUUGGUGCCAGGAAAAGGCUUACAUGUGGGUGAAAAGUGAGUAGUAUACUGUUGAAAUUUUUUCUUCUCCAAACUCUGACAAGCUCAGGGAUCUACUGCCAUGAAUGGUUAAAGGUAUUAACCCUUGGAAUUCAUCCAAAGCCUAAAACCUGAAGAAACUGGCAGAGCUGAGGGCUCAGAGAUGUGGUAUGGAUUUCUUUUUGUAACCGACUUUUGUUAAAGUUUGUCAUUUUUUCAGAAGUGGAUUACAGAUACAGUUUUCAGGCUACCCAAGAGGAAACGCCGGAGAGGGGGAGUCCUGGUGAGAUUCAGGCAAAUGGAAAACCAGCCACCUCUUCCCUCCAUUCUAUUGGCCAGUCACGUGAAAAUAAGAUGGAUGACCUCAGAUCUCGGAUUUGCUACUAACGGGUCUUUGGUAACUGCAAUAUUCUCUGCUUUUCUGAAACAUGGCUUUCGGACAUGAUACCCCCCAUGGUUAUCCAACUCGAUGGAAUCUCUAUUCACUGAACAGACAGGACAUUGAAUUGAGGGAAAUCGAGAGGGGGAGGUGUAUUGCCUCUUCAUCAACAGCAAAUGGUGUGCUGACUGUACCGUGGGGGCGGGGGGAUAAAGUCCUAGACCACUGUUACUCUACCCACAAGCAAACAUACAAGGCCCUCCCUUGUCUCCCCGUCGGGAAAUCAGAUCAUGUCUCUGUGACGAUGCCACAAGUGUGAGGUGAUAGGCAUAUAGACAUAUAAUUGUCUGGUUUAAAGUUUUUUUUUAAACUUGCAAGGUUAUACCUUUAUGUGUAUUUUCAUUUUCAUGCUGUUAUAUUAUGUAUCUGCCAGUUUUGACUGUGUUAUUUUCACCGUCAAAUCUAAGAUGGCUGCCAUUAGCAUUUUGGUGAGCUAUCCCUUUAAGAGGGCAUGUCUCUUGAAGAAAUGGAG
This 1055-nucleotide long non-coding RNA is filed under the name Salmo salar (Atlantic salmon). Its description in RNAcentral is "lncRNA (ENSSSAG00000099789.1)". Lineage: Eukaryota; Metazoa; Chordata; Actinopteri; Salmoniformes; Salmonidae. The record is from RNAcentral.